GAAUAGACUGCAAAAAGACUGCGCUAUUUAUAAAUCAUUGUCAUCAAUUUCUGCUGUCGCUCCUUGUUCACAGAUAAGAAUAAGAAGGAAGAGGAAGAGGAAGUGGAAGAAGAGGGAGAUAUGGAUGAGGAAGAUGAAGAUGAGGAGAAGGAAGAUGAAAAAGACACUGCCACUCGAGCAACAACUCGACAAGCCUCUCGUCUGGAGGCGGAGAGAAACAAGCCAAGUAAACCUUCCACCCGGGCGAGCCGACAGAGCGGUAAAGACGAGACCACAGCUGGCACGCGCGGUGGAGCGAGGGGCCGUAAACGGGAGACCAGCCCCCCUGUGGUGCGCACGCGGGGAGCACAGAAAUCAGAGGAGCCCCCUUCCAAGAGGGCUAAACGCUAAAAUGUCCGACACAGAAAAACUGCAGCCUUCAACACACUUUUUUAGCUCUGCAUUUCCAAGUGAGAAGCAGGUUUAUUCCACCAAAAAGCUGUCAACGAAAAGGUAACUUUGAGUCAACAAUGUUUUAAAGUCCAUUUGAUUUCGUUGUGAACCUGGAAACCUGUGGGGGAUACUUUUGACUGCAUAGCCAUAUGGUUUAAAUCAGACCUGUACUUUUGCUGUAAUACUCUGUAAUAGAGUUUCAGGUCAAUCACAAGCCGAAUAUUAUGUAGUAGUAUAUUUCUAGACGAUAACGAACUGGACUGAAUUUGUAAAUUCUAUCAGCUUCACAUUUGUAAGCCUCUUUGUUACAAGUCAUUUGUGCCGUUUCUGCCUUGUACAAAGUGGCCCGUGAAGUAUUGUAAACAUACACUAUUCAUUCUGUGAAUGAAGAGGCGUUUGUCUCCCCUUUUUUUAAACUUUAAAUACACUAUGUAGAUCUUUACAGCAGUGCCAGUAUUGUCACUAAUAGGAAAACAAUUAGUUUUGUUUUUAUACUUUCAUGUUUUACAUUUUCUAUGGUGGACGUUACUCAUUAGUCAGUUACCAAUUUGUCAAUAGGGCAUUAUCUGUUCCAUAAAUAUUAUAAUUUUAAACCUGUGGUGUCCUCUCAUCAUUUAUGAACCAUGUAGAC
This 1063-nucleotide long non-coding RNA is filed under the name Neogobius melanostomus (round goby). RNAcentral describes it as "lncRNA (ENSNMLG00000021922.1)". Lineage: Eukaryota; Metazoa; Chordata; Actinopteri; Gobiiformes; Gobiidae. The record is from RNAcentral.